Molecule: ribosomal RNA, 367 nt
Filed under: uncultured beta proteobacterium
Lineage: Bacteria; Pseudomonadati; Pseudomonadota; Betaproteobacteria
Description: bacterial SSU rRNA
Rfam family: Bacterial small subunit ribosomal RNA
Source: RNAcentral
CGAACGGCAGCACGGGGGCAACCCUGGUGGCGAGUGGCGAACGGGUGAGUAAUACAUCGGAACGUGCCCGGUCGUGGGGGAUAACGUAGCGAAAGUUACGCUAAUACCGCAUACGAUCUGAGGAUGAAAGCGGGGGACCUUCGGGCCUCGCGCGAUCGGAGCGGCCGAUGUCAGAUUAGGUAGUUGGUGGGGUAAAGGCCUACCAAGCCGACGAUCUGUAGCUGGUCUGAGAGGACGACCAGCCACACUGGGACUGAGACACGGCCCAGACUCCUACGGGAGGCAGCAGUGGGGAAUUUUGGACAAUGGGCGCAAGCCUGAUCCAGCCAUUCCGCGUGCAGGACGAAGGCCUUCGGGUUGUAAACCG